GCAAGUCGAACGAACAAACCGGAGCUUGCUCUGGUGCGUUAGUGGCAGACGGGUGAGUAACGCGUGGGCAAUCUACCUUUGAGUGGGGGAUACCUCUCCGAAAGGAGGGUUAAUACCGCAUAACAUCGAGAGGUCUCAGGACCAUUCGAUCAAAGCUGGGGAUCUUCGGACCUGGUGCUUAAAGAGGAGCUCGCGUCAGAUUAGCUAGUUGGUGGGGUAAUGGCCUACCAAGGCGACGAUCUGUAGCCGGCCUGAGAGGGUGAUCGGCCACACUGGAACUGAGACACGGUCCAGACUCCUACGGGAGGCAGCAGUGGGGAAUUUUGCGCAAUGGGGGAAACCCUGACGCAGCAAUGCCGCGUGGGUGAUGAAGCAUCUUGGUGUGUAAAGCCCUGUCAUCAGGAAAUAAGGUUGUGCCGUUAAUAGCGGUACGACUUGAAUGUACCUGAGGAGGAAGCCCCGGCUAACUCCGUGCCAGCAGCCGCGGUAAUACGGAGGGGGCAAGCGUUAUUCGGAAUUACUGGGCGUAAAGGGCGCGUAGGCGGUCUGAUCAGUGAGAAGUGAAAGCCCUCGGCUUAACCGGGGAACAGCUUCUCAUACUGUCAGACUUGAGGAUGGGAGAGGGAAGUGGAAUUUCGGGUGUAGCGGUGAAAUGCGUAGAUAUCCGAAGGAACAUCAGUGGCGAAGGCGACUUCCUGGACCAUUACUGACGCUGAGGCGCGAAAGCGUGGGGAGCAAACAGGAUUAGAUACCCUGGUAGUCCACGCCCUAAACGAUGAACACUUUGUGUCGCGGGUAUCGACCCCUGCGAUACAGGAGCUAACGCAUUAAGUGUUCCGCCUGGGGAGU
RNAcentral lists this ribosomal RNA (849 nucleotides) under Acanthopleuribacter pedis. Its description in RNAcentral is "bacterial SSU rRNA". It matches the Rfam family "Bacterial small subunit ribosomal RNA", at positions 57 to 881 of the family's 1533-position model. The record is from RNAcentral. Lineage: Bacteria; Pseudomonadati; Acidobacteriota; Holophagae; Acanthopleuribacterales; Acanthopleuribacteraceae.